AGAGGCGGGGCUUCCGCCAGCCAAUCCGCGGCAAUGCCGCCCUCGCCACGCCUCCGCGCCUUGCGGAUCAGGCAGCAGUUGCCGUGGCAACAGCUUGGCGCGAAGGCUGGCGUUGACGUCAACCGAGCGGGCGCGGGAGCUAGGGGCCGAAGCAGGGUCUGGAAAUGGGGGCGGGGUGGGGAAGGUGCACCCCCAAAGAAAUGGGUGAACCGGAAAAAUGCCCAAAAAUUAUGCCCCAAAGCAAAACCUAUGGGGGGAAUAAAAGAUAAACUUACACAUUUGACUAAACGACAAGAAAAAUGAAAAUCUGGGAAAACACACAUAGAGGUCUAAAGACGAACCACAGCGUGGACGAUGAGGCUACUCUGCCGGGAACGCACGAAAAAUGCUGGGUUAAUCCUACUAGUUAAUGACGAGCUCUUGCAAACCAACAAGGACCAAACCAGGCAGAAAACGGGCAAGAGGGACGCGACUAGCCACUCGCAGGGAAACGCGCGAGGACUGCCCGCGCGCACUGCCGUGGAGCCCGAGGAUCAGGAUACCGACAUGGGCCGUGGCCGGAGCCCACGCGGACCGAAUUGUGGCUUUUAUACCCAGAAGAACAGGGAGAGAGGGAGCCUGAUCAGCCAGGCAGAGGAGGUGCAGUGUGGAGUGGAGGCAGGAUCGCCGUCGAUGGGCAUCCCUGUGGGGCAGGCAGGAGCUCAUCCACCUGGACGAGGCAGUGAUUCUGACCCUGCGUGGGCUCCAGAGGCCCCUGUCUGCCAGUGCUGUGGGGGCCGUGGGAUGCUAACGCCUGGUUCCAGGUGAGAGGCCUGCAGCCCAGGGAGCUCAGCGUUCACUAACAAAGAGAGAAUGUCAGGACAGGCCCAGGGACACCGUGAAGGAGCUUCAGUUCGCACUUCCUGCCUCUGCACCUUCUCGCCUGGCGCCAGGGCCUGCAGUCCACGUGAUGCGCCCUCCCAGAGUGGGGCACCCCUGGCGCUACCUCUUCUAGAACUCCUCUGCCCAGAGAGACACCUCCUCUGGGAUCCUGGCAUGCGGGUGACUCAUGGCCCACAUGUAUUUAGCUGUGUUUUCCUCUCAGGGGGCCAAGGCAGAAUCACGGGCUCCGUCCUGGUCAGUGUCCUCUCCGCACCUGGCCCAUCUUGUCAGUCACCAGCCCAACCAAUCCUGCCUCCUAAAAUAGCUGCUUCAUCAGACCUAACCUCGUGGUUCCCAGCGUGACGAUGGCCCCGAGGCCCUCAGCUUGGAUCCCUGCCGCCGAAUCCCGUCCCCUUGCGGUUUACCCUUCAGCCCGUCCUCAUGUCUUUCCUGAAGUGAAAACCUGUCCAGCCCCUCCACAUCACCUCUGGGGUUCCUUUGCUGGGGACCCAGCUCCUCACGAAGGCUUACACUGAGCAGGGUCUGUUGCAAAGUAUGCAGUGGGCAGUAGUGGUGGCCUUCCCGUUCCAAGCCAGGACUGUGGGCCCUGGGGGAGGGUCUGUCCUCAUCAUCUCCUCAAACCCCUGCGUCUCCCGUGCCGCCUCCUUCCCUGGAACUGAGCUUACUGCCUGCCACUGUGCGGACCUCCAUGCUGAUGAGCCCGCAGCCUGGGGGCUGUUCCUGAUGCCGACCUGGCCCCUCUGUGUCCUCCAUUCUCCUGCAUCUCUUGGCCUCCCAGGCGGCUCCUGCUGAUCUUCCUUUGCUGGUUCUUAUUCCUCUGCUCUGGUGUCAACACCAACAGUGACUUAUCCCCCAUGUCACACCCAGAAAUCCGACCUGUGGCAUCAGGCCCAGGGCAGUUGAUAGUCCUAAGAAUCAGUGGAGUCAGCAGAAAAUAAAGGAGAUUAAAAUAUGCAUAAGAUGCCACCUGGAGGGGGCAGGGAGGAGGUGGUCCUAGUUCAGUGGCUGCAAGGUGCCCGUCAGGGUGGGCUCAGAUCUGCCUCAUGGGCACCGGCUGGUCCUCGCAGGUCUGUGGGCCCCUGUUCUCCAUCAGCUCCUGUCCCAGGCACCAAGGCUGAGGUGAGCAGCCACAGGAGGUCAGAUCCCUUCUUAAAACAGAACCUGAGGUGUGCACAGCCUCUGCCCGGCCUUCUCCAGGCAAGGAGGCACUGAUGGGAGGACGUCCAGGUACACGGGGCCCACAGGCUCACGGGGCCACAAUCAUUAGAGAGUUGAGAAUAGGAAAGGCCCCAUGAGCUCAGAAAAAGAUGGCUUGGCUCGCGGCCAGGAAAGCCAGUCGCUAUCAGCACUGGUUUCAAACCCGCCCAACUGAUGGAUGACGGCUCGCCUCAAGGAACACGCUUCUGCAAGCCAAAGCCCCUCGCUUGGCAGCGCGGAGCCCGUCAAGGAUGGACUCGCUCUGAUGAGCACGCCUCGGGGUGCCAACCAACCAACAAGGGCCUCACUUGAGAGCCCGCAGCCUUGCGGGUGACAUCAGCCCUUUAUGUCUCUGGAAGCCAGAGGACCUCACUCCAUGCUGCCCCCAGGCCCUCUCUAAAGCCAGACCAUUCUGCAGAGAGAGACAGCCUGAUUAGCACGGCUCUCCCUCACUGGGGAGGAAACAAACGCAGCCUUGUGCUCUCCCUUCAGAUGUGAGAUACCCAGGAUGUGUCCUUGUCCUCCUGUUAUCACCCCUCAGGGCUGCGACCACCAUGAAACAUCCGUUCUCCUCCUCCAAAGAUCCUUCGACAUCAAGGGCACCCGCCCCGCCUCCACGGGUUUCCUUCUGUCUCUGGCUGCUUCUCCUCGGCCCCAUGCUGGGUCUCAGGGUCUCGGGACUCACCCAGGAAGUGUCCUCCACCUUCUGUCUACACUCCCAGCCUUGGGGAGCUCAUCUGCCCUUUUGGUUUCCAAGGUCAUCUUCCUGUCAAGGGCUUUCCCAUGUUUGUCCCAAAGGCUGGUCUCCUGUGCUGAAGUAAGAGGGACUGGGGACCCCCGGGCUCACUUCCUAACUCUUUCCACCGAUGCCCUCUUACCUUGGCCUUUGAGGGUCUAACUGGCCUCCGGUGAGCCCAGUGCACAGAGCCACUGGCCUCCACCCCACCUCACACCCGCCUCGCUCCUCUAGCGCUGCCCCAAGGAGCUGGCUUGUGGGGCUGACCUGAAUCCAGGGUCAGAUUGAGGGCAUCAGUUCCACUCUUGACACUUUUGAGGACAGUGUCAGAGCCUCACCAGGAUGCGGGGCUGACAGGUCUCCUUUGUGGUGUUGUUUCGAGGUUCAGCAUUUAUGUGAGUGAGCCCGUGGGCGAGAAGGUGCGGCGUCUCGCACACAUGGGUGCCAGCUGCUGUUCACCCUAGGUUGGCUGAACCCCCAGUGCCUGCUGCAUUGAUCAGACAAAAACUCAACAGGCCAGUGUCGCUCCUCGUCUCUCCCUUCCCCCAACCCAGCCCAUUAGCAGGCCUCAGCUCAGCCUCCAGGUAGACUGGCGGUCAGCCCACUUCUCUCCCUCUCCUGGCCCGCCCUAGUCACACAUCCUCUGUGACAGAGAAUAACAGGCUCCUCAUCUCCAGUUCUGCCUCUUCACACCCAUUCUCUGCUUAGAAACACCUUUAAAGAGUCUGUCCCGUCACGCCAGCCCGCAGCUCACACUCCCGCAGGCAGCCGUCCCAGGUUUUAAGGAUGUGAAAUGCAAACCCCUCUCUUUUCUUGCGAGGGUCAUGCUACAGCCCUCUCAUUGAUCGACUGCCUGAGGACACCUAGGAUCCUCUUCCUGGAGCUCCUCACACUUGGGCUCUGGCACCUGGAGCCCUGCUGUGCACAACAGGCACUCAGUAAAGGACGGUGAGAGAGAGGUGUGCGUAGCUCAAAAUCCCCUUAAGAAUAGUCUUUUAAAAAAAUAUUUAUUUAUUUUAGUGGUAGUUGGACACAACACCUUUAUUUCACUUAUUUAUUUUUUUAUGUGGUGCUGAGGAUGGAACCCAGGGUCUCGCAGGUGCAAGGCGAGUGCUCCACCUCUGAGCCACAACCCCAGCCCCAAGAAUAGUCUUUACAGAUGUAUUCGCUUUAAGGAAAAGUGGGUGAAACUACAAUGUAUCGAAAUGCAAGCUACGGUUAUGUGUGACUAAUUAGAACAAGUUUUUUUUGUUUUUUUUUUUAAAUUGGGUGAAAAGACUCGCGAUGUUUCCAGUUUGUCUCUGGGUAUUCUGGUCUGCCUGUAGAUGAGUUUUGUUUUUCUUUCCCUUUGAUGCUCUUCUGUUAUUUCUAAAGUCACCACAAUGUAUUUCCUUUAUCAUGAGAAGAAUAAAAUGCUCUUAUUUAAAAGAGGA
Non-coding RNA from Ictidomys tridecemlineatus (thirteen-lined ground squirrel), 4248 nucleotides. The record is from RefSeq and is a predicted model, not a curated record. NCBI's taxonomy places the organism in Eukaryota, Metazoa, Chordata, Mammalia, Rodentia, Sciuridae.